Molecule: signal recognition particle RNA, 283 nt
Filed under: Schistocephalus solidus
Lineage: Eukaryota; Metazoa; Platyhelminthes; Cestoda; Diphyllobothriidea; Diphyllobothriidae
Description: Metazoan signal recognition particle RNA
Rfam family: Metazoan signal recognition particle RNA
About the family: The signal recognition particle (SRP) is a universally conserved ribonucleoprotein. It is involved in the co-translational targeting of proteins to membranes. The eukaryotic SRP consists of a 300-nucleotide 7S RNA and six proteins: SRPs 72, 68, 54, 19, 14, and 9.
Source: Rfam by way of RNAcentral
GCCAGGCUGUCGGCGUGCGCCUGUAAUCCAGCUACUUGGAGGCCGGGAGGUGGAAGUUGCUGACUCCGGGAGUUCCGUCUCCUGUCUGCGCAUGUUGAUCGGGCGUCCAUGCUAAGCGCGGCGUCGAUAUGGAGGGCGAGGUGUCCAGAUCGUCUAAGGAGAGGUGCACCGGGCCAGGGGGAAACCCAGCAGCCAAAAGCCUCCGCGUGGCGCAGUAGCAGGAUAGCGCCUGUGAAUGGCGGGCUUGAGACGUCCCGGGGGGCACGUGACGACCUCCUCUUUU